Long non-coding RNA from Leopardus geoffroyi (Geoffroy's cat), 2399 nucleotides. RefSeq lists it as uncharacterized. The transcript has 3 exons. The record is from RefSeq and is a predicted model, not a curated record. NCBI's taxonomy places the organism in Eukaryota, Metazoa, Chordata, Mammalia, Carnivora, Felidae.
AGAAAUGGGCCAUAGGUCACCAGAAGGGAGGUGGGUGAAGGGAUGGGCAACAUAGGUAAAGGGAAUUAAGAGAUACAGACUUCCAGUAAUUAAGUAAGUCACGGACAUGAAAAGUACAGCCCGGGGAAUAUAGUUGUCAUAAUGAUGUCUGGUGACCGAUGGUCGCUACUUUAUCACGAUGAACACGGAGCAAUAAUGUAUAGAAUUGUCAACUCACUAUGUUGUACAUCUGAAGCUACUAUAACACGUCAAUAGUAAAUACUUAAUGAAUAAUAUUAUUUAUUUCAUUAAUAAAUAAAAGGGGAAAUGAGCCAUAGAAUAACUUGAGAAAGAGCUUUCUGACCGAAAUGGAAAUGUCUUAACGUGUUGCCAGUGACACCGCAUUGCUUGUGAGGCUCAGGCCUCCAGAGAUGUGCAUGCCAUUAAAACAGGCUUUAAAAAAAGAAAUGAAAAGGCUCAGAGCCACUGCAAGGCCAUCUGUGACAUAUUUAAUCCUGGGCAACCUUUCCAGCAAGGUUCUGGCAGAGCUUGAGAAGUUUGGCCCCCUCAAAUCACGGGACUUUCCACAUCACUCCGGUGAUAAAAGGAGGUAGUUUUUUGUUUUUUGUUUUUUUGUUUUUUUUUUCCUGAACGCAUAGGCAGAGCUAGAUUCCUACACCUAUAGAGAGGAAGGAGAAAAACUCGGGUGUCUACACAAGCCAGAGCACCGGAUACGGAUACAGCACCAGCCCAGAUGGAUGGGGCAUUCCAUUUCUCCACAAAAGCUGAGCUAAGAAAAAUGUCAGGUCGAUAAUGAAGAAAGACUGGGAGGAAACGUAAUACAGAUUGUUUUGUAGGACCUUGGAGUUUAAUAACAGAGACCCAGAUACCUAAUCCGUCCAGCUCGGUCUUGUGCCUGACUCACUGGAUGGCCUUCGUGAAAUCAUUCUCCAUCGACACAGGACAAAGGCACAUUUUGAGGGGUCAUCUGGUCCUCCUGUGGCUUCCAUUUUCACGACUUAUUCGGACAGCAGUUACUGAGCAGCUGGACCCCAUGUGCCCAGGCUUCCUCCAGCACUAGGAACACGGAGGUGAUCGGGCUGUGGCCUUGGUCUCAGGGCUGGCAGUCGGAGAGACAGACAGGCAGUUACCCUUCAGUGUGCUGGGGACUGUGGAGGCGGAGUGCUUCCCAGAGGGGUCUGGGAACUAAGUCUUAAAAGAUGAAGGGUAUUUGGCACAACGAGGAGGAGGGUGGCGUGGUCGGGAAGCUGGAGAAGGUGCUCAAGAUAGAGAGGACCGAGGCCAAGGCUUGGAGGGCACAGGGUCCUUGAUGUCUUGGAGGCGGUAGAAAAUAAUUCAGUAUGAAGUACAGGGUGUAGGGAGGGGGUGGGGAGAGAUAAGGGGUGCCGGAUACAUGAAGAGAGCUCAGCCUCACACGUGUGCUAAGGAAGUCAAAACCUCUUACACGAGCCUGAGAUUUUUGGAGAAGAGGUCAAACUGGAGACUCAGUGACACUGGCCAGAGGUUGAACCAGGGCACUGGUGAUCAGGAGAGUCAGGCAGCCAUGUUUGAGGAGGUGGACAGCCCAGUGGAGAGCGGCUGGGGUGAGGAGUGGUGGGAGGGCGGACCUGGGUCCCCCCAAGGAGGACGGCCAAGCCAUGGACCUGGGGAGGGAGGGAGCGCAGUCUUUGAUGACAAAGGCCGCCUCGAGCUCUUGCUAGCCCCGUGGCCCCGGGAAAGGUACUGAACUCUCUGUGCCUCAGACCCUUCGUCUAAAAGCGAGCAUGAUGAUAGUAGAACCUCAUAGGGUGUUGCGUUGUUAUGUGGCUUAAAGAAAAUAAGGCGUGUAAGGCACUCAGAAGGGUGUCUGGAGUGUCCCAAGUCUUCAGGAGGUGCCAGCUUUUCUUAGGGGACACAGCAAGAUGGAGAUUCCUGGAGGAGAAAGAGGGCUCAGGAGGACCAGGGGGUCUCCUUCUGUUUCCCGUGACAAGAGGUUGCUUCAAGACUUUAAGAACACCAUUUCGGUCACCUUGUCAGAGGAGGUAAACUCCACAACGGAAGCUGCCUCGCCGGCUGCCAGCUGGACAAAACCCAGGGCAACUCUCUCUGAACAGAUUUGUGGAAUCCGGGACACCUAGGACAGAGGACCCCACAUUCGCUUCAGGGCUCGAGCAAGAGAAACGUAAGUGAAAACGUUCAGGCCGUAGAUCCCUGUGGGGGGUUCAGUCUUCAUACGAGGUCGGGGACCAAGUGGGGUCCUGGUGAGAUGGUGAAGCACGUGCAGUUUGUUUUUACCCAAACUGCUACCAACUUCUCUGAUGUUUUUCUAAAGACAUCUUUUUUAUUUUUUUAAAUGUUUAUGUAUGUUUUAGAGAGAGACAGACAGACAGACAGAGUGGGAGCGGGGGAGGAGCAGAGAG